RNAcentral lists this non-coding RNA (30 nucleotides) under Homo sapiens (human). Lineage: Eukaryota; Metazoa; Chordata; Mammalia; Primates; Hominidae. The record is from RNAcentral.
UGAACCCUGAGUGAGCAUACCUUUACUUCA